AACAGGAUUAGAUACCCUGGUAGUCCACGCCCUAAACGAUGCGAACUGGAUGUUGGGUUCAACUUGGAACCCAGUAUCGAAGCUAACGCGUUAAGUUCGCCGCCUGGGGAGUACGGUCGCAAGACUGAAACUCAAAGGAAUUGACGGGGGCCCGCACAAGCGGUGGAGUAUGUGGUUUAAUUCGAUGCAACGCGAAGAACCUUACCUGGUCUUGACAUCCACGGAACUUUCCAGAGAUGGAUUGGUGCCUUCGGGAACCGUGAGACAGGUGCUGCAUGGCUGUCGUCAGCUCGUGUCGUGAGUUGCUGGGUUAAGUCCCGCAACGAGCGCAACCCUUGUCCUUAGUUGCCAGCACGUAAUGGUGGGAACUCUAAGGAGACCGCCGGUGACAAACCGGAGGAAGGUGGGGAUGACGUCAAGUCAUCAUGGCCCUUACGACCAGGGCUACACACGUACUACAAUGGGAAGGACAGAGGGCUGCAAUCCCGCGAGGGGGAGCCGAUCCCAGAAACCUUCUCUCAGUCCGGAUCGGAGUCUGCAACUCGACUCCGUGAAGUCGGAAUCGCUAGUAAUCGCAGAUCAGCAUUGCUGCGGUGAAUACGUUCCCGGGCCUUGUACACACCGCCCGUCACACCAUGGGAGUUUGUUGCACCAGAAGCAGGUAGCUUAACCUUCGGGAGGGCGCUUGCCACGGUGUGGCCGAUGACUGGGGUGAAGUCGUAACAAGGUAACC
RNAcentral lists this ribosomal RNA (733 nucleotides) under uncultured bacterium. Its description in RNAcentral is "bacterial SSU rRNA". It matches the Rfam family "Bacterial small subunit ribosomal RNA", at positions 771 to 1501 of the family's 1533-position model. The record is from RNAcentral.